UAAGGAAUAUUGGUCAAUGGAGGCAACUCUGAACCAGCCAUGCCGCGUGCAGGAUGACUGCCCUAUGGGUUGUAAACUGCUUUUGUCAGGGAAUAAACCUUUCUACGUGUAGAAAGCUGAAUGUACCUGAAGAAUAAGGAUCGGCUAACUCCGUGCCAGCAGCCGCGGUAAUACGGAGGAUCCAAGCGUUAUCCGGAUUUAUUGGGUUUAAAGGGUGCGUAGGCGGUCCUAUAAGUCAGUGGUGAAAGACGGCAGCUUAACUGUCGCAGUGCCUUUGAUACUGUAGGACUUGAAUCUAUUUGAAGUGGGCGGAAUAAGACAAGUAGCGGUGAAAUGCAUAGAUAUGUCUUAGAACUCCGAUUGCGAAGGCAGCUCACUAAGUUAGUAUUGACGCUGAUGCACGAAAGCGUGGGGAUCAAACAG
RNAcentral lists this ribosomal RNA (423 nucleotides) under uncultured bacterium. RNAcentral's name for it is "bacterial SSU rRNA". It matches the Rfam family "Bacterial small subunit ribosomal RNA", at positions 355 to 775 of the family's 1533-position model. The record is from RNAcentral.